This 67-nucleotide transfer RNA is filed under the name Cordylochernes scorpioides. RNAcentral's name for it is "tRNA-Gly". The record is from RNAcentral. Lineage: Eukaryota; Metazoa; Arthropoda; Arachnida; Pseudoscorpiones; Chernetidae.
GAUCAAUUCUUUCAUUGGUAGAAUGCUAGCCUGCCACGCGGGCGGCCCGGGUUCGAUUCCCGGCCCA